GAUGAACGCUGGCGGUGUGCCUAAUACAUGCAAGUCGAACGAGCUCUUCGGAGCUAGUGGCGGACGGGUGAGUAACACGUUGGUACCUGCCUCGAAGUGGGGAAUAACUGCCCGAAAGGGUGGCUAAUACCGCAUGUGACCGCAAGGUUAAAGCAGUAAUGCGCUUCGAGAGGGGCCUGCGUCCCAUUAGCUUGUUGGUAGGGUAAAAGCCUACCAAGGCGACGAUGGGUAGCUGGAUCGAGAGGUUGACCAGCCACACUGGGACUGAGAUACGGCCCAGACUCCUACGGGAGGCAGCAGUAAGGAAUCUUCCACAAUGGACGAAAGUCUGAUGGAGCAACACCGCGUGCAGGAUGACGGCCUUCGGGUUGUAAACUGCUUUUAUAUGGGAAGAUUAUGACGGUACCAUACGAAUAAGCACCGGCUAACUACGUGCCAGCAGCCGCAGUAA
This 451-nucleotide ribosomal RNA is filed under the name uncultured bacterium. Its description in RNAcentral is "partial 16S ribosomal RNA". It matches the Rfam family "Bacterial small subunit ribosomal RNA", at positions 28 to 523 of the family's 1533-position model. The record is from RNAcentral.